GACGAACGCUGGCGGCGUGCUUAACACAUGCAAGUCGAACGAUGAAGCCGGAGCUUGCUCCGGUGGAUUAGUGGCGAACGGGUGAGUAACACGUGAGCAAUCUGCCCUUGACUCUGAGAUAACUGCGGGAAACUGUAGCUAAUACCGGAUACGACACCUUGGGGCAUCCCAGGGUGUGGAAAGAAUUUCGGUCAAGGAUGAGCUCGCGGCCUAUCAGCUAGUUGGUGAGGUAAUGGCUCACCAAGGCGACGACGGGUAGCCGGCCUGAGAGGGUGAACGGCCACACUGGAACUGAGACACGGUCCAGACUCCUACGGGAGGCAGCAGUGGGGAAUAUUGCACAAUGGGCGAAAGCCUGAUGCAGCAACGCCGCGUGAGGGAUGAAGGCCUUCGGGUUGUAAACCUCUUUUAGCAGGGAAGAAGCGAAAGUGACGUUACCGACAGAAUAAGCACCGGCUAACUUCGUGCCAGCAGCCGCAGUAA
This 483-nucleotide ribosomal RNA is filed under the name uncultured bacterium. RNAcentral describes it as "partial 16S ribosomal RNA". It matches the Rfam family "Bacterial small subunit ribosomal RNA", at positions 28 to 523 of the family's 1533-position model. The record is from RNAcentral.